AUUGAACGCUGGCGGCAGGCCUAACACAUGCAAGUCGAGCGCGCCGCGGACGGGUGAGUAAUGUGUGGGAAUCUGCCUGAUGGAGGGGGAUAACUACUGGAAACUGUAGAUAAUACCGCAUUCCAUCAGGUGUGCCCAGAUGGGAUUCGCUAGUAGGUGGGGUAAUGGCACACCUAGGCGACGAUCCCUAGCUGGUCUGAGAGGAUGACCAGCCACACUGGAACUGAGACACGGUCCAGACUCCUACGGGAGGCAGCAGUGGGGAAUAUUGCACAAUGGGCGCAAGCCUGAUGCAGCCAUGCCGCGUGUGUGAAGAAGGCCUUCGGGUUGUAAAGCACUUUCAGCGGGGAGGCGUUCCCGCAGAAAAGCACCGGCUAACUCCGUGCCAGCGCCGCGGUAAUUC
This 403-nucleotide ribosomal RNA is filed under the name uncultured bacterium. RNAcentral's name for it is "partial 16S ribosomal RNA". It matches the Rfam family "Bacterial small subunit ribosomal RNA", at positions 30 to 526 of the family's 1533-position model. The record is from RNAcentral.